This 253-nucleotide ribosomal RNA is filed under the name uncultured bacterium. Its description in RNAcentral is "partial 16S ribosomal RNA". It matches the Rfam family "Bacterial small subunit ribosomal RNA", at positions 524 to 776 of the family's 1533-position model. The record is from RNAcentral.
UACGGAGGGGGCCAGCGUUGUUCGGAAUCAUUGGGCGUAAAGGGCGCGUAGGCGGCCAAGCAAGUCGGAGGUGAAAUCCCUCGGCUCAACCGGGGAACUGCCUCCGAUACUGCUUGGCUUGAGUCCCGGAGAGGAUAGCGGAAUUCCCAGUGUAGCGGUGAAAUGCGUAGAUACUGGGAGGAACAUCGGUGGCGAAGGCGGCUAUCUGGACGGGCACUGACGCUGAGGCGCGAAAGCUAGGGGAGCAAACAGG